RNAcentral lists this transfer RNA (78 nucleotides) under Bacteroidales bacterium. Its description in RNAcentral is "tRNA-Val". It matches the Rfam family "tRNA". Rfam says of the family: Transfer RNA (tRNA) molecules are approximately 80 nucleotides in length. Their secondary structure includes four short double-helical elements and three loops (D, anti-codon, and T loops). Lineage: Bacteria; Pseudomonadati; Bacteroidota; Bacteroidia; Bacteroidales. The record is from RNAcentral.
GGGAUGUUAACUCAGUUGGUUUAGAGUGUCACCUUGACAGGGUGGAAGUCACAGGUUCGAGUCCUGUACAUCCCACAA